AUCUGCGCAUGGUGGCCCCCGUUCCGUUCCAUCGUGGGUCCAGGUUUCGCCAGUACUCCGGUGCAUCCUGAUGAAGAAAGAAACAUCAUAAGCCUUCCACAUGAAGUUCGGACGGGGUUGAUUUACCUUAAUAAAGUAUUUCUAUUGAUCAUUACUCUAAGAAAGUCUGGACUUCAACUAAGAAGCAAGCAAGAAAGAAGAUUAAACAUUUUUGUAUCGGUAAUGGACUGAAUUUAGUAGCGUAGCAUAAGCUGAAUCAAAUGUUACACGCUAAUUUUGAACUACGUAUUCACACACACACACACACACCCCUAUAUGUAUAUAUGAGUCAGUGUGUGUACACAUCUACGGUAAUAGAUGAUCCGGUGAAAUUCACCAAAGUGCACAAGCCAGAUUUCACCCAAGCGACCUUUUUACAAAAUUCAUUUGAAUGGGACUUAAGUUGAAUGCUUUUGUGACAUGCAUUAAUAUCUCUAUUCCAACUUAUUUGAGACGAAAUGUUGCAGCUUAUCUAGGCUUUUGUAAUAUGUAUAAAUACUAUAUUGUUAAAUUAGAUAUUCUUUAUAUCUUG
Molecule: long non-coding RNA, 571 nt
Organism: Erythranthe guttata (spotted monkey flower)
Lineage: Eukaryota; Viridiplantae; Streptophyta; Magnoliopsida; Lamiales; Phrymaceae
Source: RefSeq, a predicted model, not a curated record